GGAGAAGCCCGGCCCGUUGUGGGAUUCGACUUGUGAUUUCUUACAUUUUAAUGUAAGUCUGGGGAAAAAACCCAUUGCGCGUCGCCCUUUAAGUGUUCAACGCAUCAACUUGUGUGUUUACCCGUGUGGACAACUGGGAUUUUGUGUAGAAAAAGUCGUUACGAAGUUGAAGCGGCCAAGUGUGGAAUCGUGCGGUACCUGAACCUCUCCGAGUGGCCUGAAUGUGAAUGAGCAGCUGCCGGCCUUGGAUAGGAGAUUACUGGCCGUGUUUUUGUGGUUAUCCUGAGUUGUAUCUUAACCUUAAAGAAGGUAUCCUUCCCAGUUUCGCCUCUUCAACAUUGCGAUGAUUUUUAGAACCGGAUUAUGUUGGUUGAAAAACUGCUUGGCCCCCAAGGCAUCCAUACGCUGAAGCGCAGUCCCAACUGGAAUUUCACAUGCAGUACCGGCUCUCAACUCCUGUCUGGUUUCCCUUUCCAGUGCUUGCAGAGUCUGUUGUAUGUUUUGAAGUCACGCAGGACUUUUAUUGUUGAUGUGAGUGGAACGUACUCUUGUGACUCCUUCGCUGGACAUAGCUGGAUGCAGCUCAACGGUUGCUGGACUUGAGCCUUUCAAUGAAGAAUAUGAGAACUAGGAUUUUGGCAGACUGAUUAUGACGGUAUUUUUUUUGGUGUUUCUUGUAUGGGGAAAGUAAGCACAUCUUGAUAAAUUGGUGUCUGAGAAUUGCAUGUUUUGAAAGGAAACCUGGGUUUGGUCUCUUCUUGUUUUUCUUUUCAUUGAACAUGACUUGGUGAUUAUAUCACUGUCUUUGUGGUUGAGAGCGGGAAAGCAAUGUUUUGGCACCGUUAGACUUUGUAAUCUCACUUUAGCAUUAGGAUGACGCUCUCUAUUGCAACAUGGAGGUCGACUCCCUUGCUCCGACAGAUUUUUCCACCGAGCAGCUGACACCUGCAGUUUGUUCAUCGGAUAGUCUGUGCCGAGCAGUGUUCUUAGAGAGUUGAGUAGGUGGGUUGGUCACUUGAGUCAAAUGAGAUUCAGGUGGAGGGUAAUGAAUACAUGUAUUUGAGAAUGUUCUUACACAGUGGUAGGGCUUGAUCACUGUCUUAUGUUGCUACUAUCGCUCGAUGUCAAUGGCAUUCAUUCCAUUGGUAGUUAUUUGCGAGACCCCCACAACAUGUUGUUUCUGCUAACCAGAUUAUGCCUGGUUUGUGUCAUGUUCAGUGGCUGAACUAAUUUUUUCACAUAGUGUGGUGAUCUUUGACUAACUGUAAUGCAGUGCACCCUUUCUCCACCCAAAUACUUCUCAGUCUAUUCCAUCCUCUGCACUCUCUCCCAAUUGUCUGUCCGAUCCAGUGGGCAAGCCUAUUAGGGCUCUGAUUGUGACGUGCGAUCAGCUGGCCUAACUUUGCGUCAAAGUGUACUGCAUUACUUUUAGCAGAGUAAAUGGUGACCCUUACUUUGGUUCAGAUCAGUUCAGUUGCUUUUAUCAUGUUCCUUACCAUAAUUGUCCAUUUUCUGGUAAAUUUUUAAACUGUUGUUCAUUUUUAAGGGAGUAGGUGGGGCAAAAAGAAAUUCUAAGGUGCAAGAGGCUCACCAACCCCUGUAAAAGCAGAAGGGUUUAGUAAAUGGAUACCUAUGUAGAGGUCAAAUCUAGAUGCAAUGAUGCAGCUUCUGGUGCAUGACAGUAAUGUAGGAUGCUCGUGUUCAAUGUACUUUCAGUUUAACUCGGCCAAUAAUUCUAGCAUCUGUGAGCGGCACUCUCAAAGUCCUCCACUUGAAAUGAGCUUUGUAAGCUUUGCCACAACAGCAGUUGUGCAAUGCCACCGUUGAAGUUGAAAUAAUUUCUGUAAUUCAUUAAUUCUCUAAGCAUUGUGAGCGGCACUCUCUAAGUCCUCCACUUGAAAUGAGCUUUGUAAGCUUUGCGACAACAGCAGUUGUGCAAUGCCACCGUUGAAGUUGAAAUAAUUUCUGUAAUUUAUUAAUUCUCUAAGCACUGUGAGCGGCACUCUCUAAGUCCUCCACUUGAAAUGAGCUUUGUAAGCUUUGCCACAACAGCAGUUGUGCAAUGCCACCGUUGAAGUUGAAAUAAUUUCUGUAAUUCAUUAAUUCUCUAAGCAUUGUGAGCGGCACUCUCUAAGUCCUCCACUUGAAAUGAGCUUUGUAAGCUUUGCGACAACAGCAGUUGUGCAAUGCCACCGUUGAAGUUGAAAUAAUUUCUGUAAUUAAUUAAUUCUCUAAGCACUGUGAGCGGCACUCUCUAAGCCUUCCACUUGACAGGGACCUUUGUAAGCUUUGCCACAACAGCAGUUGUGCAAUGCCACCGUUGAAGUUGAAAUAAUUUCUGUAAUUUAUUAAUUCUCUUAGCACUGUGAGCGGCACUCUCUACGCCUUCCACUUGAUAUGGACCAUUGUAAGCUUUGCCACAACAGCAGUUGUGCAAUGCCACCGUUGGAGUUUCAAUAAUUUGAAAAGAUUUGACAAUUGUUGAAGGCAGUCUCAGGCUCGCUCUCUUGUAUGCCAAAAUGUUGUUAAAAGUUCAUCCAUAACCCAGGUGUUAUUGCAGGGUUGCAGGUACAAUAUUGAUGUGAUUGUCUCAUUGCUUCACAGGAUCAACUGUUAACCAUGUUUUUUUUUUUUUUUUGCUUUACUGACUCUUGUUUGAACUAUGAUUAUUUCAAAGGUUGAAGUGUGUUAGCAUAGGCACAGCUCUGUUUCUUGUUGUUAAAUGCAUAGUGUUAAUUUGAUAUUGGAACCAUCUCAAUGCAUAUCCCUACAUUGCCAUUUGUCCCAGCUGGACCACAACUCAACUGCUCUGCAGUCAUGAUGAUGCACCUCUAUUGACAGAGGCCUAAGUUGACUAUGUACGUUCUCAAGCAACAAUUUGGUGAACCGAGCACAAGGUUAACUUAGCUCAUUGAUAGCUUUUCAUUGCUGCCUGUGGUGAGUCCGUUCCAUUCUGUGUGUCCGUCUUCUUUUCAAAAUCUGAAUGAUCGUGGUGUUGGCAAUUAGUUGCAGAGGAUUUUGGAUCUAUUUUGUAUGAAUUAAGGGCCAUAAUUUUCAUAACUGGGUGCACUUAGCACCUAAAGCAGAUUAACAUUGCAUAAGUCCCAACAUGCAGUGCAUUACUAGUUGUUGCAUUUCUAUUAUCCUAUGAUUCAGCUCAGAGUUGCUCAGCAGGACUUAAAAUUUUUCUUCACGAUAUUUCACUUUGUUGCAAUACUAAUAAUAUUCGAUUCAGGGUUGCUUAUCAGAACAAUUUGUUGCAUUUCUUUUGCCAUCCAAUUCAGAUUGCUGCAAAACACUGCUAUUCAAAGGUUUUUAUUUAUUUAUUUUCAGUUCAUUACCAAGUAGUUUCAUUAUUAUUGUCAAGUAAUUAUUUUUAUUCUUGUGACCUAUGUUCCAAUUUAUCGUAUUUUAAUUCAAAGUUAAAAGCAAGCAAUUUAUGAGCAGUUGCUCUUUUCACAUGUUUUGAGCAUUUAAAAAAAAAGGGGAAACUGAUAGUAACAGUGAUUGUCAAUGUUUAAAGCAUUUCAUUCAUCAAUGGUACAUCUGCAUGGGUUUGUGUUCAGUCACCGACAAAUUGGUUACGAUUGGAUACGUAUGAUGUGAUCCAGAGUCCGUUUGGAUGUGUUCCCAUUGAGUGCUCUCUGUGCUGCUGUAGCGAGCAUGGCAAGUAAUUUGAGGCCUUCUCUAACUCACCCACACCCCUUCUUCGCCCCUUCCCAGCCCCAAAGAGCAUUAUAAUAUGCUCACCUUUAUUAUUAUUAUAUCUUUACUUUCUCUUCCUUUAAAAAUUCACUUUCUGAAAACAAGUAACUAGCAGAAGUGUGGUUUCGGUUAAGAAACCCCCUGCCACCCCAGGCGAGAGCCGUGACCCGGUGUUAUGGCCGCCUGUAGAGGUGUUAACAUUUGUCAAAUGAUGAUGUAUUAAGUGUAAGCAGAAGUGUGGUUUCGGUGAACAAACCCCCUGCCACCCCAGGCGAGAGCCGUGACCCGGUGUUACGGCCGCCUGAAGAGGUGUUAAGAUUUGUCAAAUGAUGUAUUAAAUGUAAGCAGAAGAGUGGUUUCGGUGAAGAAACCCCCUGCCACCCCAGGCGAGAGCUGUGACCCGGUGUUACGGCCGCCUGAAGAGGUCUUCAUAUUUUGUUCUCAUUUAAACUAUCCCCCCACCCCCUUUCCCCUCCUCCCCCUCGCCUCCACCCCCUUCCUCUCGUCUCAUGCAGGCCAAACAGGUAAGACUAAGCUGUAUUUUCUUAUCCACACAUUUUACAGGUAUUCGUUACAUCUUUUGCUCUCAAAGGGGUGGACUUGGUAGUAAAGGUGGCCCUGAGAUGUAUCGUGCAACUGUUGCCAAUUGUAGUGGGCAUGUACUUUUCUUGUGCAUCUUUAUUCCAGGUUUUCCACUUAUUCAAUUUGGCAUCCUGCCCACUGAUGCUACAGACUGGAGCUUCACCUCAACUUGACUAGGAGACUAGGAUGCCACCAAGAGAAGUAAACACUUAAAUGAGAAAGGGAGAAAUUACCAGCUAGCAUUGCUGAUUGUGCCCUGUCCUCCACCAAAAAUUGGUGGCAUUCUAUGAGGUGCAUGGAUUCCAAUACUUGCGUGUCUAUGAAUCUGAUUCCCAAAGCAGACUUCUUUUUAAACUAUUCCUGG
Thrips palmi is the source of this 4651-nucleotide long non-coding RNA. RefSeq lists it as uncharacterized. Lineage: Eukaryota; Metazoa; Arthropoda; Insecta; Thysanoptera; Thripidae. The transcript is spliced from 6 exons. The record is from RefSeq and is a predicted model, not a curated record.